CAGCCGCCGCGGUAAUACGGAGGGGGCUAGCGUUGUUCGGAAUUACUGGGCGUAAAGCGCACGUAGGCGGCUUGGUAAGUUAGAGGUGAAAGCCCGGAGCUCAACUCCGGAAUUGCCUUUAAGACUGCCGAGCUAGUAGGUGAGAGAGGUAAGUGGAAUUCCGAGUGUAGAGGUGAAAUUCGUAGAUAUUCGGAAGAACACCAGUGGCGAAGGCGGCUUACUGGCUCAUUCUAGACGCUGAGGUGCGAAAGCGUGGGGAGCAAACAGGAUUAGAUACCCCGGUAGUCCCUGUCUCUUAUAC
Molecule: ribosomal RNA, 301 nt
Filed under: uncultured bacterium
Lineage: Bacteria
Description: partial 16S ribosomal RNA
Rfam family: Bacterial small subunit ribosomal RNA
Source: RNAcentral